UCACAAAUAUUUAGUUUUUUGUUCCAUAGUGUAUUGUGGUAUAAAUUUCGGCUGUCAGUGUUUAUUUUGUUCUGUAUAUAAGUUACAAUUAUUUCAAUGUUUUUGUUGUAUGACAUUUAUGCCAUUCUUUACAUUGUUAAAGGAACUGAUACCGGGUGACGAUUUAUUUGCAUGUCUAACUGCAGCUGCAGGAAUGUAAGUUCUGUAUUCCUGAUUGCACAUUGUGAUUAUCAGAAGUAUGUGCGAUUGUAUAUCGUUUAAACUAUACAAUGUUGCAAUUUAUACAGAUUUUGCAAAGGUAGUUCAGUGUAAUGUAAGUGUGAUUAGCGUUGGAUCAUACAUAUAUGUACGCAGAUUUAGAAACAAUUAGGAGGAUCCCGAAAAUAAAUGAUUUAUUUUAAAAAUAUUAUUCCAAGGCUUUUGUCGCAGUUUGAUGGUCACGAACAUCUAAGUGAGGCAAAGGAAACCGACAGACAACAGCAAUGAAAAAAACAACAAUAUAAAGUGCAUAAAUGCAACAUACAAAAUUUUUACUGUUAAGUCCAGUGAGCUGGCAGUCAAGUCAUGAAUGAUGUCAAAAUGCUUUGUAUUUUACCCACUACUGCCAUUAAAUAUGAUUGUAUGCCUCUCAACUGCCUGUCUGUUUAUAUAUCUGUCUAGCUUUUGUUUAUGUCAGUCAAGCCAUAAUUCUUCGAUAUAAAACUUGGCAAUAUCUGUUUAAUGCAACUUAUCUGUAACUAUCUGUCUGAGAGAUUGACUUAAUGUCAUCUAUACUUUUAAAUAUAUUAUAGCAAUUGUUAAUCG
Long non-coding RNA from Lucilia cuprina (Australian sheep blowfly), 804 nucleotides. RefSeq lists it as uncharacterized. The transcript has 3 exons. NCBI's taxonomy places the organism in Eukaryota, Metazoa, Arthropoda, Insecta, Diptera, Calliphoridae. The record is from RefSeq and is a predicted model, not a curated record.